RNAcentral lists this unclassified non-coding RNA (266 nucleotides) under plant metagenome. RNAcentral's name for it is "partial contains small subunit ribosomal RNA, internal transcribed spacer 1, and 5.8S ribosomal RNA". The stretch from base 218 to 266 matches the Rfam family "5.8S ribosomal RNA", at positions 1 to 49 of the family's 154-position model. The record is from RNAcentral.
UCUCCGUUGGUGAACCAGCGGAGGGAUCAUUACCGAGUUUACAACUCCCAAACCCAAUGUGAACCAUACCAAACUGUUGCCUCGGCGGGGUCACGCCCCGGGUGCGUCGCAGCCCCGGAACCAGGCGCCCGCCGGAGGGACCAACCAAACUCUUUUCUGUAGUCCCCUCGCGGACGUUAUUUCUUACAGCUCUGAGCAAAAAUUCAAAAUGAAUCAAAACUUUCAACAACGGAUCUCUUGGUUCUGGAAUCGAUGAAGAACGCAGC